Abrus precatorius (Indian licorice) is the source of this 107-nucleotide small nucleolar RNA. The record is from RefSeq and is a predicted model, not a curated record. NCBI's taxonomy places the organism in Eukaryota, Viridiplantae, Streptophyta, Magnoliopsida, Fabales, Fabaceae.
AAACUAUGAUGAGGACACUUCCUCAUAAGUUUUUUAAGUUAUUCUCACACUUCAAAUAGGGAUUCAGACCUAUGCUAUUGAGAAUUGAACAUUUCUACCAUAAGUUU